This 279-nucleotide ribosomal RNA is filed under the name uncultured bacterium. RNAcentral describes it as "partial 16S ribosomal RNA". It matches the Rfam family "Bacterial small subunit ribosomal RNA", at positions 506 to 784 of the family's 1533-position model. The record is from RNAcentral.
UGCCAGCCGCCGCGGUAAUACGGAGGGGGCAAGCGUUAUUCGGAAUUAUUGGGCGUAAAGGGCGUGUAGGCGGCUUCGUGUGUCCUUUGUGAAAGCCCUCGGCUCAACCGAGGAAUUGCAGGGGAAACUGCGGAGCUCGAGUCCGGGAGAGGAAAGCGGAAUUCUCAGUGUAGCGGUGAAAUGCGUAGAUAUUGGGAAGAACACCCGUGGCGAAGGCGGCUUUCUGGACCGGUACUGACGCUGAGACGCGAAAGCUAGGGGAGCAAACGGGAUUAGAUA